RNAcentral lists this long non-coding RNA (1615 nucleotides) under Haliotis rubra (blacklip abalone). RNAcentral describes it as "uncharacterized LOC124268018". Lineage: Eukaryota; Metazoa; Mollusca; Gastropoda; Lepetellida; Haliotidae. The record is from RNAcentral.
AUUAUAAACACGGGAUUCUGAUGUUAUUUGAUGAUUUUGCCACCUGCAAUUUUAAAUAUAAUUAUGGAGCACGUUUGACAUCUAAAUUGAAAGUACUGGAUAAGAAUGUACAACCCAUGCAUGCAGUAAGAGGUGGCCAGGCUCUCUGAUUUGGUUUACGCGUGUUAUUGUAUCCGAUUGCAUAGAUCGAUGCUCAUGCUAUCAAUCACUGUCUGGGUCAGACUCGAUUGAUAAAAUACUGUCGUCACACAGUUUGAAUAUUGUUACAUACAGAGUUAAACAACAAACACACACACAUACAUUUUUACAAUAAACUGUAUUUCUACUAUCUUUUACGGAGUGGUUUGGUUUAAUAAUUAUGUCCCACGUCCGUACUUGAACGUUGUAAUUACGAGGGUAUAAAUUUCCGGUUGAUAUUGACAUGAUAUAGGGUUCAUGAUCUAUUUGUUAUUCAGCUAAAUUAAAUAUUCCUUCCAGGAUUAUCUCCCCGUCAGUAGAUGCUUCUGUUGCCACCUCCAGGUUUGAAGUGAGCAUGUCCAAGUCUACAGCGCUGUCCGAUGAUAUCCUUCUAAACACAAUGGAGCUGAAACUAAAGGAUAACGAUGACACCACUGUCAUUCAACAUUACCACAUCACGGGGAGGGCAAGGAACCCCAGUUUCAACUUGCUGACUGACAACUUCCUCACGUGGACAAAGGAUCCCAAACGAGGAUUGUGCACCGUUGUCACAGAGUCUGUGGAGGAGUUUCGUUUCCUUGUGCUUCUGCUAAACAUCGCCAGCAGACUGCAAAGACGAUGGUAGAGUGGACGUCAUUAACAACAUGCGACAUCUCUACACGUCUUGGAGGUCCGCCAUUCACAGAGAGUGACGUGAGACUGUGUCUGGAGUUCACUCGACAGAGGACUGGGACACAUGGAGUAUACGCCAACUUCUGACGCCUUCUGUUGUAAAGCACCACAGGCUGUACACGUGGACUCAUAUCCAAAUAUGUACUCAGAUCUGAGUUAUUGCUCAAUGAACAAUUGUAUCUGCCAAGGUCAGAUGUAUGAUACAGGAAAGAUGUUCACAUAACUUGGACAAUAUACCAGUUACGUAUUUAAUUAAUGUGUGUCUUAAUCCAAAGAUGAUACUUAUUAUACUUAUUCACAGAUGUACAGAAACAUUGAUUAAUAUUGGCCUUGCUGCAAAAUGGAUUGAAUGUUGUUAGUUUCAAAUUGAUAACUGCAAUAAGAUAUUUGCAAUUGUAUCAACCGGAAACAUCACCUCACUGAGUCUCUAAGCGCCUGUAUAUAGCCUGGCUUUUAAGAAACCAACAUGUAGUAACAUUCUUCAAGUGAGUGCCGACAAAACUGUAUUUACUUAUUUUCGUUUCUUUGUAUCUUCACUUUAUCUUGUCACAUUUAAGAAUUGAUACUGCACUGUUUUGAAAACCUAGUAUAUUAUAUUAAUUAUGUCUCCUUGACUAUUUCACUUUUAUACAGGGUUUGGUACACAUCAUCGUUUACGAAAACAACCACUACUUCACAUGUUGUAAUCCAUGCAUAACAGUCAUGAGUUGUGCCAUUGUUCAACAUAGCAAUUCACAUUUUGACAUUCAUAGCCUUAAUUGACCUU